UUAGCUUGGGCUCCCAGUGUGCUAAGCAUCAAGCAUGGGGGAGGCCUGUUGGCCUGAAAUCCAUGAGGAGGAUCCCAGGGAAAGCUACUGCUGCCCCCAGCCCUGUGCAUUUGCUCACACAGGGCUGCCACGUGAAUGCCACUUUCUCCUGCAGGUCCCUAUUUCCCAUGGGCGGUGGCUCUGGCCGUGAUUCUGUCCCUUGUCGUUCUCCUGGGCAGUUUCUGCCUCUGGCGGCAGCACCGUGUGACAGAGAGGCGCCGUGCAGACAAAGCAAAGUAUGAAGCAAUGAAAGGUAAGUGCCUUUUACUGCCCCCCUGACCCCCUGACUUCACUGGCAAAACCCUGGUACCCAGCCACGCGUCCCUCCCCAUCUCCAGGGAGGUCUUGUGAC
Molecule: long non-coding RNA, 391 nt
Organism: Alligator mississippiensis (American alligator)
Lineage: Eukaryota; Metazoa; Chordata; Crocodylia; Alligatoridae
Exons: 3
Source: RefSeq, a predicted model, not a curated record